RNAcentral lists this ribosomal RNA (1165 nucleotides) under uncultured Flavobacteriaceae bacterium. Its description in RNAcentral is "bacterial SSU rRNA". It matches the Rfam family "Bacterial small subunit ribosomal RNA", at positions 363 to 1533 of the family's 1533-position model. The record is from RNAcentral. Lineage: Bacteria; Pseudomonadati; Bacteroidota; Flavobacteriia; Flavobacteriales; Flavobacteriaceae.
AUUGGACAAUGGAGGCACUCUGAUCCAGCCAUGCCGCGUGAAGGAAGACGGCCUUAUGGGUUGUAAACUUCUUUUGUACAGGAAGAAACCUUUCCACGUGUGGAAAGCUGACGGUACUGUAAGAAUAAGGAUCGGCUAACUCCGUGCCAGCAGCCGCGGUAAUACGGAGGAUCCAAGCGUUAUCCGGAAUUAUUGGGUUUAAAGGGUCCGCAGGCUGUUUGUUAAGUCAGAGGUGAAAUCCUACCGCUCAACGGUAGAACUGCCUUUGAUACUGGCAAACUUGAGUUAUUGUGAAGUAGUUAGAAUGUGUAGUGUAGCGGUGAAAUGCAUAGAUAUUACACAGAAUACCGAUUGCGAAAGCAGAUUACUAACAAUGUACUGACGCUGAGGGACGAAAGCGUGGGUAGCGAACAGGAUUAAAUACCCUGGUAGUCCACGCCGUAAACGAUGGGCACUAGCUGUUUGAUGUACAUUGGUACAUUGAGUGGCUAAGCGAAAGUGAUAAGUGACCCACCUGGGGAGUACGCUCGCAAGAGUGAAACUCAAAGGAAUUGACGGGGGCCCGCACAAGCGGUGGAGCAUGUGGUUUAAUUCGAUGAUACGCGAGGAACCUUACCAGGACUUAAAUGUAAGUUGCAUGAUUCAGAAAUGGAUCUUUCUUCGGACUACUUACAAGGUGCUGCAUGGUUGUCGUCAGCUCGUGCCGUGAGGUGUCAGGUUAAGUCCUAUAACGAGCGCAACCCCUAUCGUUAGUUGCCAUCAAGUAAAGUUGGGAACUCUAGCGAAACUGCCGGUGCAAACCGUGAGGAAGGUGGGGAUGACGUCAAAUCAUCACGGCCCUUACGUUCUGGGCUACACACGUGCUACAAUGGCCGGUACAGAAAGCAGCCACUAUGCGAAUAGGAGCUAAUCUUCAAAGCCGGUCUCAGUUCGGAUCGCAGUCUGCAACUCGACUGCGUGAAGCUGGAAUCGCUAGUAAUCGGAUAUCAGCCAUGAUCCGGUGAAUACGUUCCCGGGCCUUGUACACACCGCCCGUCAAGCCAUGGAAGCUGGGGGUACCUAAAGUCGGUGACCGAAAGGAGCCGCCUAGGGUAAAACUAGUAACUGGGGCUAAGUCGUAACAAGGUAGCCGUACCGGAAGGUGCGGCUGGAAUACCUCCUUUCU